AAAAUGGGUGGUAAAUUUCAUCUAAAGCUAAAUAUUGGCGAGAGGCCGAUAGCGCACAAGUAGAGUGAUCGAAAGAUGAAAAGCACUUUGAAAAGAGAGUCAAAAAGUACGUGAAAUUGUUGAAAGGGAAGCGCUAGAGACCAGACUCGGGUUGGGGUGAUCAGCGGUGCUUCUGUGCCGUGCACUUGUCCCUUCCCGGGCCAGCAUAAAAAUGUGACGGCGGGAUAAAGGCCCGAGGAAUGUGGCUCCCUUCGGGGAGUGUUAUAGCCUCGGGCGCAAUGCCGCCUGCCGCGACCGAGGACCGCGCUUCGGCUAGGAUGCUGGCAUAAUGGUCUUCAGCGACCCGUCUUGAAACACGGACCAAGGAGUCUAACAUCUAUGCGAGUGUUCGGGUGUAAAACCCCUGCGCGUAAUGAAAGUGAACGGAGGUGGGAACCCUUCACGGGGUGCACCAUCGACCGAUCCUGAUGUUUUCGGAUGGAUUUGAGUAAGAGCAUAGCUGUUGGGACCCGAAAGAUGGUGAACUAUGCCUGAAUAGGGUGAAGCCAGAGGAAACUCUGGUGGAGGCUCGCAGCGGUUCUGACGUGCUACAUCGAUCGUC
This 601-nucleotide ribosomal RNA is filed under the name Sarcoscypha coccinea. RNAcentral describes it as "eukaryotic LSU rRNA". It matches the Rfam family "Eukaryotic large subunit ribosomal RNA", at positions 289 to 906 of the family's 3401-position model. The record is from RNAcentral. Lineage: Eukaryota; Fungi; Ascomycota; Pezizomycetes; Pezizales; Sarcoscyphaceae.